This 494-nucleotide ribosomal RNA is filed under the name uncultured bacterium. RNAcentral describes it as "bacterial SSU rRNA". It matches the Rfam family "Bacterial small subunit ribosomal RNA", at positions 28 to 517 of the family's 1533-position model. The record is from RNAcentral.
GAUGAACGCUAGCGGCAGGCUUAACACAUGCAAGUCGAGGGGUAGGUUACUUCGGUAAUUGAGACCGGCGCACGGGUGCGUAACGCGUAUACAAUCUACCUUUUACAGAGGGAUAGCCCAGAGAAAUUUGGAUUAAUACCUCAUAGUAUAGCAGUUUCGCAUGAAACCACUAUUAAAGUCACAACGGCAAAAGAUGAGCAUGCGUCCCAUUAGCUAGUUGGUAAGGUAACGGCUUACCAAGGCUACGAUGGGUAGGGGUCCUGAGAGGGAGAUCCCCCACACUGGUACUGAGACACGGACCAGACUCCUACGGGAGGCAGCAGUGAGGAAUAUUGGACAAUGGGCGAAAGCCUGAUCCAGCCAUGCCGCGUGUGUGAAGAAGGUCUUCGGAUUGUAAAGCACUUUAAGUUGGGAGGAAGGGUAGGUAACCUAAUACGUUGCUACUUUGACGUUACCGACAGAAUAAGCACCGGCUAACUUCGUGCCAGCAGCCG